Molecule: ribosomal RNA, 302 nt
Filed under: Eucampia antarctica
Lineage: Eukaryota; Bacillariophyta; Thalassiosirophyceae; Eucampiales; Eucampiaceae
Description: partial Bacterial small subunit ribosomal RNA
Rfam family: Bacterial small subunit ribosomal RNA
Source: RNAcentral
AAGUCCCGCAACGAGCGCAACCCUCGUUCCAUGUUGCCAGCACGUGAUGGUGGGGACUCAUGGGAGACUGCCGGGGUCAACUCGGAGGAAGGUGGGGACGACGUCAAGUCAUCAUGGCCCUUACGGGAUGGGCUACACACGUGCUACAAUGGCAGGUACAGAGGGCAGCAAUACCGCGAGGUGGAGCGAAUCCCACAAAGCUUGUCGUAGUCCGGAUUGGAGUCUGCAACUCGACUCCAUGAAGUCGGAAUCGCUAGUAAUCGUAGAUCAGAAUGCUACGGUGAAUACGUUCCCGGGCCUUG